AACGAACGCUGGCAGCAUGCCUAACACAUGCAAGUCGAACGAGACCUUCGGGUUUAGUGGCUCACGGGUGCGUAACGGGUGGGAAAAUGCCCUAAGGUUCGGAAUAACUCCUCGAAAGGGGUGCUAAUAAAGGAUGAGGUAUUGGGACUAAUGAUUUAUCGCCCUUGGAUGUGGCCGCGUUGGAUUAGAUAGUUGGUAGGGUAAAAGCCUACCAGGGCGACGAUGCAUAGCUGGUCUGAGAGGAUGAUCCGCCACACUGACACUGAGCGGCGGCACAGACUCCUACGAGAGGCAACUGUGCGGAAUAUUGAACAAUGGACGAAGGCCUGAUGCUGCCAUGCUGCGUGAGUGAUGAAGGUCUUAGAGUUGAAAAGCUCAUUUACCCGGGAUGAUAGUGACGGUACCGGGAGAAUAAGCACCGGCUAACUACGUG
Molecule: ribosomal RNA, 433 nt
Filed under: uncultured bacterium
Lineage: Bacteria
Description: partial 16S ribosomal RNA
Rfam family: Bacterial small subunit ribosomal RNA
Source: RNAcentral